UACAGAGGGUGCAAGCGUUGCUCGGAAUCAUUGGGCGUAAAGGGCAGGUAGGUGGUCUGAUUUGUCUGGAGGUGAAAGCCUUGGGCUUAAUCCAAGAAGUGCCCCGGAAACGGUCAGACUUACGAGUCUUGGAGAGGGUGGCGGAAUUCCCGGUGUAGCAGUGAAAUGCGUAGAUAUCGAGAGGAACACCAGUGGCGAAGGCGAGUCCCUGGACAGCUCCUGACGCUGAGGCACGAAAGCUAGGGGAGCAAACAGG
This 256-nucleotide ribosomal RNA is filed under the name uncultured bacterium. RNAcentral describes it as "partial 16S ribosomal RNA". It matches the Rfam family "Bacterial small subunit ribosomal RNA", at positions 524 to 776 of the family's 1533-position model. The record is from RNAcentral.